Molecule: long non-coding RNA, 7555 nt
Filed under: Homo sapiens (human)
Lineage: Eukaryota; Metazoa; Chordata; Mammalia; Primates; Hominidae
Description: HSALNT0109648
Source: RNAcentral
ACCAGGUGCUGUGCUAGGUGCUCAAAGAUUUUAUCAUACAGUUGGAGUCCUCAAGGAGCUUAUAUUUUAGGUAGAGAGGUAAUAAAAAUGUAAAAGAAUAAAGCAAAGGAAUGUAAAUUUAAUGGAAGCAGGUAAGUACAGAAAAUUAGAGGAAAUAGAGAUCCUUGUGGGGUUUUGUAAUUGUGGCACAGGGUGCUAGCUAAUUCCCUCUCCCCUCUCCUUAGCACUCUCCCUGCCUUCCACACAGAGCAUUUCUCCUCCUUCCUUUUAGUAAUAAAACUCUGAAUUGUAGCUAGGCUCAGACUCCCAGAUACAGACUACAUUUUCCACCCUCCUUUGCAGCUAGGUGUGGUCAUAUGACUAAGUACUGCCCCAUGAGAUGCGAGGGGUAAGUGAUGUGUGCAACUUCCGUUAUACCCUUCAAAGGAAGCUGCUUUGUUCUCAAUUUUCUCUUUUGCCUUACUGCAGGCUGAAAUGUGGACCUGUGCCUUUGCCCUUACUGAAGCUGCCAACAUGUAAAUAAGUAGCUCUACUAGAAGAUCUCGGAAUAAUCUCAUAGAUAAGAGUGGGCUACCCAUCCCCAACUGCCUGCUUACCUAUGAGACAAAUGACUUGGUGCCCAAAAAGAAGGCCUCUUUUUGAUACAUUAUGGCUUGGCUUUAUUUACCUGGAUCCAGAUGAAAACUUCAAAAUUUUCCCUAAGAACAUUUUGGUGACCAAGAAAAUUGAACAGGAAAAGUUCUAGCCUGGAACUUAGGAGAAAAUAGGCGCUAGAAGAUUCCUCUCAUCUUAUCUUCCUGGAGAGGGAAGAGACUGGCCCCACUGACAUUCAGUGGUAUGCAAUGGAGACUCAAAGACUGUGUGUGGCAAGGAGGGAUCCCCCCUGCCCCACCCCACAGACUCUAAUCAAAUGGCAAAUGACAGCAGGCUUUAAUGAGACUGGAGUGAUUUCAUGAAGACCUGGAGCACAUUAUAUUAUAAUCUACUUUACAAAUAAGGCUGGUUGAUUAAUUUGGUGUGGUCAUAGUACUUAAGAUAGGAGCCCUUAGUUUUGGAAGCAAUUGGUUUCAGAAAAGCCAUCGCGGUGGGUCUGCAACAGUAGAAGGUCGAAGUGACACCCAGAGAUGAAAUGUUACUAUUGUCAAGGUGUAUUGCUGAUUUGCUGUGUGUUAUACAUUAAGAAAUAUAAGCUCACUGAACCCUAGCUCCUCAUGGACAAACCCAUCAGGGACAGUCCUCAAAAGUGUAUUUCUGAGUUGGUACAGUAUUCAUAUUCAUUUAUGAUUUCAUUUUUGUUUCAUAGACCACCAAUAAAUUUGGGAAAUAACGCAUCUACAUAUCCCUUCUUGGACAGUCACAAUGUAUAUGGCACAUUGAUGACUUUGAGAAGUCCUGCACUAAAGGUUAUUCACCUCGUUUGACCACUAAUACUUCUUAUUCAUAAAAAAACUUAUUUGUCAAUAAAGAUAGUCUCAGCAAAGCUGAUGUAUUAAAAAACUUCUAAGCUUCAGUGGCUUAAAAUAGCAAGGUUUAUUUAUCGCUCAUGCUAUAUAUCCAUUGUUGGUUGACUGGAAAUCUUACACCACAGUCUUUACUCUGAGAUCCAAAGUGUCAGAGCCACCAUCAUCUGAGCAUUUCUUGUUGCUCUGGAAGAGAGAAGGUGAGCUCUGGGUGUUUAACAGGUAAAUAUUGCAGCCUGAAAGUGAUUCAUAAUUGUGGAAUUUUGGCUCAGAACUCAUUGGUCAGAAGUAGUCACAUGGGCUCACUCAAACAUGAGGGGCUGAGAAAGUACCAUCCUACCAUGUGUCUAAAAUGUAGACAGCCAGAAAUAUUCAGUGGAUAGCACUAAUGACAACUAACCCAGUUAAAGUGGCUAAACACUAAUGUUCAUUAAAGUAUAGCUGGGACCCACUGCUGUUCAUGGUUUUAAAAACAAGGAUUGGGGACUUCCAGUUUUAAAAUGACAGCAUAGAAGCAAACUGGCUUCACUCCCUCCCACUCCCUCCCUCCCCCAAAACAAAUAUACAGCACUGAGAUUUUCACCAGCAACAACCCGUAACUCAAAUAUGAGGAUGAAAUAGUUCCCAAGGCCACAGGGAAGUGUAAAAACUCUGAGCAGAUGGUAAGAGAAGCAGACUUCCACAUCUGUGAUGCCUCUCCCUCCCCAUUCAUUCUGACAACAAGUACAUGGAAAAUCUUCCCCAUGUAGAAACUCAUGGUAUCUACACUGGAAAAAAUGAAAUUGAGGUGGUAAACUAACUUUCCUACUAUCUUGGGUUCCCUGGAAGGAAACUUUCUUGCCUUAACCCAAAGGAACUAUUGUGACUGCCUGAAGAAGGAAAUAUCCCUGAGGAAAGACAGAGACAAGGGAGGUAGGUGGAAUCACCAUCCCCAGCCCUGGAAACUGCCUGUAAGUUGGUCAAAGGAGAUGUCAAAUCAGAGUGGCUACUCAGCAGCACUAUGCUAUAGGAAGUAUGUUCCACAGGUCCCCUGGGCACAAACUCCUAGCCAGUCUUCCCACACCUCCAGGAUAAUGUCUUUGGGACCCCUCCCAUUUGGGACAGACAGCACUCCCAUCAUUUACUAGAGCAAGGCAAACCUGGGCUUAAAAUGGCAUCUGGAGCCAAAAAGGAGGCAGCAACUUAGUGGUAAGGAUUUGCUAAGCAAAUAUAUAUAUAUAUAUUUAAAGCCAGGAAGAGAAAAUGGAAAUAACUAAUCCUUUAAUGCAAAGACAUAGGUAUAUACCUACUAGAAACAGGAGCAAAUAGGGAACUAUGAUCUCCUCAGAAGGACAAAGCAAAAAUCCAGUGACUGAGCCUAACAAGAUGAUGAUUUGUGAGCUCUCCAACCAAGAAUUCAAAACAGCAAUUUUAAAGAAACUCAGUGAUCUCCAAGAUAACAUAGAAGAGCAAUUCAGAAAUUUAUCAGAGAAAUUUAACAAAGAGAUUGAAGUGAUUAAAAAAAUUAAACAGAAAUCUUGGAAUUGGAGAAAUACAUUUACUGAAUUGAAGAACUAAUUAAAGGCUCUCAACAGCAGGAUGGACCAAGCAGAGGAAAGAAUCAGUGAGCUCAAAGACCAAGUAUUUGAAAACACACAGUUAGAGGAUAAGAAAAGAAAAAGAAAAAAAAAAAAAGAACAGAAAAACCUAUGAGAUACAGAAAAUUUCCUUAAAGGACCAAAUCUAAGAAUUAUUGGUGUCCAAGGGGGAGCUAAGGAAGAGCAAGAGGUAGAAAGGUUAUUCAAAGGAAUAACUGAAAACUUUCCAAAACAUGAGAAAGAUAUAAGUAUCCAGGUACAGGAAAGUUUGAGAACACCAAAUAGAUUCAACCCAAAUAAGACUACCCCAAGGUAUAUAGUAAUCAAACUCUCAAAGGUCAGGGACAAAGAGAAAAUUCCAAAAGCAGUAAGAUAAAGCAAAUAAGAUGCAAGAGAGCUCCAAUUCAUCUGGCAACCAACUUCUCAAUGGAAACAAAAUAGGCCAGGAGGAAGUGGAAUGACAUUUUCAAAGUACUUAAGGAAAAAAAAAUACCAUCCAGAAUACUACAUCCAGAAAAAUUAUCCUUCAAAUAUGAAGGAGAGAGAAAGUCUUUCUCAAACAAAAGCUGAGAGAAUUCAGCACCACAAGAACCAUUUUUCAUGAAGUACUAAAGAGAGUUAUCUAAUCUGAAAGAAAAAAACCACUAAUGCGCAAAAGGAAAACUUUUCAAGCUAUAAAACCUGCUGGUAAAAUUAAAUACAUAGACAAACCCAGAAUACUCUAUUGCUUUAAUUGUGGUGUACAACCAAUUCAAAACUUUAGUAUGAAGCCCAAAAUACAAAUCUAUCAAAAACAAUGAUAGCUACAACAACCUGUUAAGAGAUAAGUAAUAUAAAAAUAUGUAAAUUGAGACAACUAGAAGUCCAAAUGUCAGGGGAGUGGAGUUAAAAUGUAAAUAUUUUGUGUGUUCCUUUUUUGCCUUUGUUUCUAGUCUUUAAUUUGUGAUAAGUCAUCAUCUCUUUCAAAGUAACUUGUUACAUCUAUAAAAUGUUUUUUGUAAUCCUCAUGGUAACCACACUGCAAAAAUCUAUAAUAGAUUCACUAAAAAUAAAAACAACUAAUCAAAACAUACUAUCAGAGAAAAUCACUUAAACACAAAUGAAGAUAGUAAGAAAGGAGAAAAUGAAGAGAGAGGUCUCAUAACAACCAGAAAACAGAUAACAAAUUGGCAUUAGUAAGUUCUUAAUUAUCAAUAAUAAAACAGAAUGUAAAUGGUCUCAAUUCUCCAAGUAAAAGGCAUACAGUGGCUGAAUGGAUAAAGAAACAAGACUCAACUAUAUGCUGCCUUCAAGAAACCCACUUCACCUAUAAAGACAGACUGAAAGUGAGGGGUGGAAAAAAUAUUCCAGGCAACUGGGAACCAAAAUAGAGCAGGAGUAGCUAUACUUAUAUCACAUAAAAUAGACUACAAAUUUAAGAUUAUAAAAAGAGACAAAGGACACUAUAUAAGGAUAAAGGAGUCUAUUAAGCAAAAGGAUAUAACAAUUGUAAAUAUCUAUGCGCCCAACACUGGAGCUCCCAAAUAUUUAAUGCAAACAUUAAUAGAUAUAAAGAGAGAUAUCUACUGAAAUACAAUAAUAGUAGGGGACUUUAACAACCUGCUCUCAACAGUGGACAGUUCAUCCAGACAGCAAAUCAACAGAAAAACAGGGGAGUUAAACUACAUACUAGAUAUAACAGGCCUAGCUGACAUUUAGAGAACAUUUUACCCAACUGCAGCAGAAUACACAUGCUUUAGCAUAUGAACAUUCUCCAGAAGAGACCAUAUCUUAUGCCACAAAACUCGUCUAAACAAAAUUAAAAAAUCCAGGAAUCAUAUCAAUUAUCUUUUCUCACCACAAUGGAAUAAAACUAGAAAUCAAUAACAAGAGGCAACUCAGAUAAUACACAAACACAUGCAAAUGAAACAACAUCCUCCUGAACAACCAAUGGUCAAUGAAGAAAUUAACAAGAAAAUUUAAAAAUUUCUUGAAACAAAUGAAAAUGGAAAUAGAACAUACCAUAAUUUAUGGGAUAAAGCAAAAGCAGUACUAAGAGGGAAGUUUAUAGCAAUAAAUGUCUAUAUCAAAAAAGGAGAAAGACUUCAAAUAACCUAAUGAAGCACCUCAAAGAACUAAAAAGGCAAGAACAAACUAAACCCAUUUGUAGAAGGAAAGACAUAAUAAAUAUCAGAACAGAAAUAAAUGAAAUUGAGAUUUAAAAAAUUACAGAAGAUCAACAAAACAAAAAGUUGGUUUCUUGAAAAGGUAAACAAAAUUGACAAACCUUUAGCUAGACUAAUAAAAAGAAGAGAGAAUCAAAUAAAUAACAUCAGAAAUCAAAAAGAAGACACAACAACUGAGAUCUCAGAAAUAUAAAGUGUCAUUAGAGACUAUCAUGAACAAUAAUAAACCAACAAAUUGGAAAAUUUAGAAGAAAUAAAUUCCUUGAUACACGCAAUCUACCAAGAUUAAACACCACGAAGAAAUAGAAAACUUCAACAAACCAAUAAUGAGUAGCAAGAUCAAAGCCAUAAUAAAAAGUCUCCCAUCAAAGAAAGGCUCAGGGGCAGAAAAGCCCAAGAUAAGACCCACUGGCUUGGAAUUCCAGCCAGCUACCAUGAACAACAUUGCACCUCCCUAAGAAGGAGCUCCCAGGGGGAAGGGCAGGCCAUAUCUUUGCUGUUUGGGUGCCGUAGCCAUUCCAGCCUUCAGGCUUUGGAGAGUCUGAAUUGACCCGUGGUGGAAGGGAUCUCCCAGCACAGCACAGCUGCUCUACCAAAAUGUGGCCAACUGCUGCUUUAAGCGGAUGCCUGACCCCAUUCCUCCUCACUGGGCAGAACCUCCCAACUGAGACCUCCAGCCACCUCUGUCCAAGCUCUCCAGCCCACAGAGAUCUGAAUUCCCCCUGGGAUGGCUCUCCCAGAAGGAGGGGGCAGGCUGCCAUCUUUGCUGUUACGGUGACUUAGCUGUUCCAGCCUUUGAGCUUUGGAGAGUGGAAGCCAACCCAGGGCAGAAGGGAUCCUCCAGCACAGCAUAGCUGCCCUACCAAAAUGUGGCCAGACUGCUGCUUUAAGUGGGUACCUGAUUCUGUUCCUCCUCACCGGGCAGGACCCCCCAACCAGGGGCUCCAGCAACCCGUGCCCAUGUUCUCCAACCGACAGAGAUGUGAAUUUCCUCUGGGACAGAGCUCCCAUGGGGAGGGGCAGGCUGCCAUCUUUGCUGUUAGGGUGACUUAGCUGCUCCAGCCUUUGGGUUUCGGAGUGUCUGAGGUGACUGGAAGCAGAAGUGGACCCCCAGCGCAGCACAGCUGCCCUACCAAAACGUGGCCAGACUGCUUUUUUCCUGAUCCCGUUCCUUCUCACGGGGCGGGCGGGACUUCCCAACUGGGGUCUCUAAUCAUUUCCUACAGAUGCCUUUGGGUGGGCAACAAGUCCAUGACUCCUUGGGACAAAGCUCUCAGAGAGAGGGGCAGGCUGCCAUUUUUGCUGUUUCAUAGCCUUCACUGGGGACACCAGUUCUGGAAAAUCUGAGGUGACGAGGGACUGGAGUGGGCCCCAAGCAAACCACAGCAGCCCUACAGAAAAGUGGCCAGAUUGUUAUGUGGGUGACUGUUCCCAUAUCUCCUCACUGGACAGGUCCUCCAGGCCUGGGCCUCAAGCCAUCGCCCCCUACACCCCCACCCCCGCCACCCCUGCCAUCCCCACCAUCCCCCAUCACCCCUGCCACCGCCGCCCCCGCCAGAGCUACUGAGCCAGCACCAACUGAGCAACUCCCCAGACAGAACCUCUGGGGGCAACAAAAAAAUAAUUCUUUUGGAAAAUUUUAUGAAAACAAUUUUUUUCACUUAAAGUCCUCAGUGGAUUUCCAACAAUAGAUAACAAAAUCAUUUUCCAGCCAAUUCCUCACUGCUUUUCUCAAAUACAAAUGCUAUGUAACAGAAAACAUGAAUAAUUCUACAACACAGCUUAUUUCUUGGGUACUAGAGGGAGGUGUACCAUAAAUGCCCAUUUACAAUGUCUUCUGCACAGGUGUGCAAAGAGUUAAUGGUGUCAGAUAAAUCCCAUAAUAAUAGAAAAAAAGUUGGCAUAGAAUUCAUAUAAACAUUAAAAAGUAUGUAUUUUGUGCUACCAUGAUAACCUCUGAAAAUUCAUUUCUGAUGAAGUCUACUGAAUCAAAUUAAUGUCUUGGUACCUUGUUUGAUAGUUGGCCAUAACAGUAUCACACAAUUACACAGAACAAAAAGGCAGUGAUAAUGUUCAAAAAUAAGUACCUUGGUUCUGAGAUGUUACCUGUAUACCAAGAACAAUGAAGGUACUUAUCAGUGGUCAUUCAAAAGUCCUUAACUCACUGCUUCUCUGAGAAAUACAGGACGUGUUAAAUUCAUGUCAUUUCCUCAGGCACCUCCAAGUUCCUCUCCAGUUCUUCCUUACAUAUUUCCUAUAUACAAUCAUAUUUAAGUCACCUAAUAUAUGGAAAAUAGGUUGAGCAAUGCUUGGCACAUAGUAGUCACUAAGUAAGCAUUUAUUGUUAUCAUUA